RNAcentral lists this transfer RNA (60 nucleotides) under Pseudotibiozus cerasopus. RNAcentral describes it as "tRNA-Ser". The record is from RNAcentral. Lineage: Eukaryota; Metazoa; Arthropoda; Diplopoda; Spirostreptida; Spirostreptidae.
GAGCUAUAAUAAAUUAAGCCGCUAACUUAAUAAAUAACAUUUAAUAAUGUUAAUAACUCU